This 2923-nucleotide ribosomal RNA is filed under the name Staphylococcus aureus. RNAcentral describes it as "23S ribosomal RNA". It matches the Rfam family "Bacterial large subunit ribosomal RNA". Lineage: Bacteria; Bacillati; Bacillota; Bacilli; Caryophanales; Staphylococcaceae. The record is from RNAcentral.
GAUUAAGUUAUUAAGGGCGCACGGUGGAUGCCUUGGCACUAGAAGCCGAUGAAGGACGUUACUAACGACGAUAUGCUUUGGGGAGCUGUAAGUAAGCUUUGAUCCAGAGAUUUCCGAAUGGGGAAACCCAGCAUGAGUUAUGUCAUGUUAUCGAUAUGUGAAUACAUAGCAUAUCAGAAGGCACACCCGGAGAACUGAAACAUCUUAGUACCCGGAGGAAGAGAAAGAAAAUUCGAUUCCCUUAGUAGCGGCGAGCGAAACGGGAAGAGCCCAAACCAACAAGCUUGCUUGUUGGGGUUGUAGGACACUCUAUACGGAGUUACAAAGGACGACAUUAGACGAAUCAUCUGGAAAGAUGAAUCAAAGAAGGUAAUAAUCCUGUAGUCGAAAAUGUUGUCUCUCUUGAGUGGAUCCUGAGUACGACGGAGCACGUGAAAUUCCGUCGGAAUCUGGGAGGACCAUCUCCUAAGGCUAAAUACUCUCUAGUGACCGAUAGUGAACCAGUACCGUGAGGGAAAGGUGAAAAGCACCCCGGAAGGGGAGUGAAAUAGAACCUGAAACCGUGUGCUUACAAGUAGUCAGAGCCCGUUAAUGGGUGAUGGCGUGCCUUUUGUAGAAUGAACCGGCGAGUUACGAUUUGAUGCAAGGUUAAGCAGUAAAUGUGGAGCCGUAGCGAAAGCGAGUCUGAAUAGGGCGUUUAGUAUUUGGUCGUAGACCCGAAACCAGGUGAUCUACCCUUGGUCAGGUUGAAGUUCAGGUAACACUGAAUGGAGGACCGAACCGACUUACGUUGAAAAGUGAGCGGAUGAACUGAGGGUAGCGGAGAAAUUCCAAUCGAACCUGGAGAUAGCUGGUUCUCUCCGAAAUAGCUUUAGGGCUAGCCUCAAGUGAUGAUUAUUGGAGGUAGAGCACUGUUUGGACGAGGGGCCCCUCUCGGGUUACCGAAUUCAGACAAACUCCGAAUGCCAAUUAAUUUAACUUGGGAGUCAGAACAUGGGUGAUAAGGUCCGUGUUCGAAAGGGAAACAGCCCAGACCACCAGCUAAGGUCCCAAAAUAUAUGUUAAGUGGAAAAGGAUGUGGCGUUGCCCAGACAACUAGGAUGUUGGCUUAGAAGCAGCCAUCAUUUAAAGAGUGCGUAAUAGCUCACUAGUCGAGUGACACUGCGCCGAAAAUGUACCGGGGCUAAACAUGUUACCGAAGCUGUGGAUUGUCCUUUGGACAAUGGUAGGAGAGCGUUCUAAGGGCGUUGAAGCAUGAUCGUAAGGACAUGUGGAGCGCUUAGAAGUGAGAAUGCCGGUGUGAGUAGCGAAAGACGGGUGAGAAUCCCGUCCACCGAUUGACUAAGGUUUCCAGAGGAAGGCUCGUCCGCUCUGGGUUAGUCGGGUCCUAAGCUGAGGCCGACAGGCGUAGGCGAUGGAUAACAGGUUGAUAUUCCUGUACCACCUAUAAUCGUUUUAAUCGAUGGGGGGACGCAGUAGGAUAGGCGAAGCGUGCGAUUGGAUUGCACGUCUAAGCAGUAAGGCUGAGUAUUAGGCAAAUCCGGUACUCGUUAAGGCUGAGCUGUGAUGGGGAGAAGACAUUGUGUCUUCGAGUCGUUGAUUUCACACUGCCGAGAAAAGCCUCUAGAUAGAAAAUAGGUGCCCGUACCGCAAACCGACACAGGUAGUCAAGAUGAGAAUUCUAAGGUGAGCGAGCGAACUCUCGUUAAGGAACUCGGCAAAAUGACCCCGUAACUUCGGGAGAAGGGGUGCUCUUUAGGGUUAACGCCCAGAAGAGCCGCAGUGAAUAGGCCCAAGCGACUGUUUAUCAAAAACACAGGUCUCUGCUAAACCGUAAGGUGAUGUAUAGGGGCUGACGCCUGCCCGGUGCUGGAAGGUUAAGAGGAGUGGUUAGCUUCUGCGAAGCUACGAAUCGAAGCCCCAGUAAACGGCGGCCGUAACUAUAACGGUCCUAAGGUAGCGAAAUUCCUUGUCGGGUAAGUUCCGACCCGCACGAAAGGCGUAACGAUUUGGGCACUGUCUCAACGAGAGACUCGGUGAAAUCAUAGUACCUGUGAAGAUGCAGGUUACCCGCGACAGGACGGAAAGACCCCGUGGAGCUUUACUGUAGCCUGAUAUUGAAAUUCGGCACAGCUUGUACAGGAUAGGUAGGAGCCUUUGAAACGUGAGCGCUAGCUUACGUGGAGGCGCUGGUGGGAUACUACCCUAGCUGUGUUGGCUUUCUAACCCGCACCACUUAUCGUGGUGGGAGACAGUGUCAGGCGGGCAGUUUGACUGGGGCGGUCGCCUCCUAAAAGGUAACGGAGGCGCUCAAAGGUUCCCUCAGAAUGGUUGGAAAUCAUUCAUAGAGUGUAAAGGCAUAAGGGAGCUUGACUGCGAGACCUACAAGUCGAGCAGGGUCGAAAGACGGACUUAGUGAUCCGGUGGUUCCGCAUGGAAGGGCCAUCGCUCAACGGAUAAAAGCUACCCCGGGGAUAACAGGCUUAUCUCCCCCAAGAGUUCACAUCGACGGGGAGGUUUGGCACCUCGAUGUCGGCUCAUCGCAUCCUGGGGCUGUAGUCGGUCCCAAGGGUUGGGCUGUUCGCCCAUUAAAGCGGUACGCGAGCUGGGUUCAGAACGUCGUGAGACAGUUCGGUCCCUAUCCGUCGUGGGCGUAGGAAAUUUGAGAGGAGCUGUCCUUAGUACGAGAGGACCGGGAUGGACAUACCUCUGGUGUACCAGUUGUCGUGCCAACGGCAUAGCUGGGUAGCUAUGUGUGGACGGGAUAAGUGCUGAAAGCAUCUAAGCAUGAAGCCCCCCUCAAGAUGAGAUUUCCCAACUUCGGUUAUAAGAUCCCUCAAAGAUGAUGAGGUUAAUAGGUUCGAGGUGGAAGCAUGGUGACAUGUGGAGCUGACGAAUACUAAUCGAUCGAAGACUUAAUCAA